RNAcentral lists this ribosomal RNA (431 nucleotides) under uncultured bacterium. RNAcentral describes it as "bacterial SSU rRNA". It matches the Rfam family "Bacterial small subunit ribosomal RNA", at positions 958 to 1392 of the family's 1533-position model. The record is from RNAcentral.
AACGCGAAGAACCUUACCAAGGCUUGACAUAUAGCGAAAAGUGGCAGAGAUGUCAUGUCCGCAAGGGCGCUAUACAGGUGGUGCAUGGUUGUCGUCAGCUCGUGUCGUGAGAUGUUGGGUUAAGUCCCGCAACGAGCGCAACCCUCGUUCUGUGUUACCAGCAUUAAGUUGGGGACUCACAGGAGACUGCCGGGGUCAACUCGGAGGAAGGUGGAGAUGACGUCAAAUCAUCAUGCCCCUUAUGUCUUGGGCUGCACGCAUGCUACAAUGGCCGGUACAAAGUGCUGCGAAAUCGUAAGAUUUAGCGAAUCACAUAAAGCCGGUCUCAGUUCGGAUUGAGGUCUGCAACUCGACCUCAUGAAGUCGGAGUUGCUAGUAAUCGUAGAUCAGCAACGCUACGGUGUAUACGUUCCCGGGUCUUGUACACACCG